Molecule: ribosomal RNA, 254 nt
Filed under: uncultured bacterium
Lineage: Bacteria
Description: partial 16S ribosomal RNA
Rfam family: Bacterial small subunit ribosomal RNA
Source: RNAcentral
UACGUAGGGAGCAAGCGUUGUCCGGAUUUAUUGGGCGUAAAGAGCUCGUAGGCGGCUUAGAAAGUCAGGUGUGAAAACUCUGGGCUUAACCCAGAGACGCCACUUGAUACUUCUAUGGCUUGAGUUCGGUAGGGGACCAUGGAAUUCCUGGUGUAGCGGUGAAAUGCGCAGAUAUCAGGAGGAACACCGAUGGCGAAGGCAGUGGUCUGGGCCGAUACUGACGCUGAGGAGCGAAAGCGUGGGGAGCGAACAGG